AAGUUGUUGCGGUUAAAAGCUCGUAGUUCGAGCUCAGUUCCGGACUGGCCGGGGAGGUCACCGCCCGGUGCUUCCCCGUCAGGCUCCGAACAGCCUUCGUGAGCGGAGGCCAAGCCGGUUCUGCCGGGGUGCUCUUUACCGAGUGUCCCGCGCGGCCGGCCAGUUCACCUUGAAUAAAUGAGAGUGCUCAAAGCAGGCUACUCUCGAAUACAAUGCCCGAAUGUUACCUGCAUGGAAUGAUGGAAGAUGAUCUCGGUUCCAUUUUAUUGGUGGUGGGAGCCCGAGGUAAUGAUAAACAGGGACUGUCGGGGGCAUCCGUACUACGACGCGAGAGGUGAAAUUCAGUGACCGUCGUAGGACGAACAACAGCGAAAGCAUUUGCCAAGAAUGUCUUCGUUGAUCAAGAACGAAAGUUAGAGGAUCGAAGGCGAUCAGAUACCGCCCUAGUUCUAACCCUAAACGAUGCUGACUAGCAAUUCGCCGUCGUUAUUCCCAUGACGUGGCGAGACGCCCCCGGGAAACCUCAAGUCUUUGAGUUCCGGGGGUAGUAUGGUUGCAAAACUGAAACUUAAAGGAAUUGAAGGAAGGGCACCACCAGGAGUGGAGCCUGCGGCUUAAUUUGACUCAACACGGGAAACCUCACCAGGCCCGGACACCAGAAGGAUUGACAGAUUAAGAGCUCUUUCUCGAUUUGGUGGGUGGUGGUGCAUGGCCGUUCUUAGUUGGUGGAGUGAUUUGUCUGGUUAAUUCCGGUAACGAACGAGACUCUGGCCUACUAAAUAGUCGACGGGCGUUUUGGUGCAUGGGCCCCGUUCGACACAGUCUUCUUAGAGGGAUGAGCAGCGAGUAUAGCUGCAGGAGAUUGAGCAAUAACAGGUCUGUGAUGCCCUUAGAUGUCCUGGGCCGCACGCGCGCUACACUGAAUGGGUUAGCGGGUUGUCCUUCUCCGAGAGGAGCGGGAAAUCGCUUGAAAACCAUUCGUGAUAGGGAUUGGGGCUUGCAAUUGUUUCCCAUGAACGAGGAAUUCCCAGUAAGCGCAAGUCAUCAGCUUGCGUUGAUUAAGUCCCUGCCCUUUGUACACACCGCCCGUCGCUACUACCGAUUGAAUGAUUUAGUGAGGCCUUCGGACUGGCGGUCUUGGACUGGGGCGCCGGCGUCUUCCAGCAAUGGGGACUCGGCGACCCGCCUAGACGGGCCGGAAAGAUGUCCAAACUUGAUCAUUUAGAGGAAGUAAAAGUCGUAACAAGGUUUCCGUAGGUG
RNAcentral lists this ribosomal RNA (1260 nucleotides) under Cuapetes longirostris. RNAcentral describes it as "SSU rRNA". It matches the Rfam family "Eukaryotic small subunit ribosomal RNA", at positions 607 to 1811 of the family's 1831-position model. The record is from RNAcentral. Lineage: Eukaryota; Metazoa; Arthropoda; Malacostraca; Decapoda; Palaemonidae.